This 1343-nucleotide ribosomal RNA is filed under the name uncultured bacterium. Its description in RNAcentral is "16S ribosomal RNA". It matches the Rfam family "Bacterial small subunit ribosomal RNA", at positions 28 to 1378 of the family's 1533-position model. The record is from RNAcentral.
GACGAACGCUGGCGGCGUGCUUAACACAUGCAAGUCGAACGGAAAGGCCCUGCUUUUGUGGGGUGCUCGAGUGGCGAACGGGUGAGUAACACGUGAGUAACCUGCCCUUGACUUUGGGAUAACUUCAGGAAACUGGGGCUAAUACCGGAUAGGAGCUCCUGCUGCAUGGUGGGGGUUGGAAAGUUUCGGCGGUUGGGGAUGGACUCGCGGCUUAUCAGUUUGUUGGUGGGGUAGUGGCUUACCAAGGCUUUGACGGGUAGCCGGCCUGAGAGGGUGACCGGCCACAUUGGGACUGAGAUACGGCCCAGACUCCUACGGGAGGCAGCAGUGGGGAAUAUUGCACAAUGGGCGGAAGCCUGAUGCAGCAACGCCGCGUGCGGGAUGACGGCCUUCGGGUUGUAAACCGCUUUCGCCUGUGACGAAGCGUGAGUGACGGUAAUGGGUAAAGAAGCACCGGCUAACUACGUGCCAGCAGCCGCGGUGAUACGUAGGGUGCGAGCGUUGUCCGGAUUUAUUGGGCGUAAAGGGCUCGUAGGUGGUUGAUCGCGUCGGAAGUGUAAUCUUGGGGCUUAACCCUGAGCGUGCUUUCGAUACGGGUUGACUUGAGGAAGGUAGGGGAGAAUGGAAUUCCUGGUGGAGCGGUGGAAUGCGCAGAUAUCAGGAGGAACACCAGUGGCGAAGGCGGUUCUCUGGGCCUUUCCUGACGCUGAGGAGCGAAAGCGUGGGGAGCGAACAGGCUUAGAUACCCUGGUAGUCCACGCUGUAAACGGUGGGUACUAGGUGUGGGGUCCAUUCCACGGGUUCCGUGCCGUAGCUAACGCUUUAAGUACCCCGCCUGGGGAGUACGGCCGCAAGGCUAAAACUCAAAGGAAUUGACGGGGCCCCGCACAAGCGGCGGAGCAUGCGGAUUAAUUCGAUGCAACGCGUAGAGCCUUACCUGGGUUUGACAUGGAUCGGGAGUGCUCAGAGAUGGGUGUGCCUCUUUUGGGGUCGGUUCACAGGUGGUGCAUGGCUGUCGUCAGCUCGUGUCGUGAGAUGUUGGGUUAAGUCCCGCAACGAGCGCAACCCCUGUUCACUGUUGCCAGCACGUUAUGGUGGGGACUCAGUGGAGACCGCCGGGGUCAACUCGGAGGAAGGUGGGGAUGACGUCAAGUCAUCAUGCCCCUUAUGUCCAGGGCUUCACGCAUGCUACAAUGGCUGGUACAGAGAGUGGCGAGCCUGUGAGGGUGAGCGAAUCUCGGAAAGCCGGUCUCAGUUCGGAUUGGGGUCUGCAACUCGACCUCAUGAAGUCGGAGUCGCUAGUAAUCGCAGAUCAGCAACGCUGCGGUGAAUACGUUCCCGGG